GGAGAAGGGCUGGCACAGCUGGCCUGGCUCGGUAAUCUGUGGGACUUGGUGUGGGUGCAGUGUAGUUUUUUAAUUUCUUGGUUAAAGUUUAUUGUAAUUUUGGUUGUGCACUUCCACAGCCUAACGAUUCUGCUAAAUGAUCAUUGGAUUAACCCACCAGGUGCAAUCAAUUCUUCAUCGGGCAGCAUUGUCAGGAGUUGUGCAGAGCCACAGGGUCCCCUGCACCUCCUUUUCUCCAGGCUGAGCCCCUUCCCAGCUCCUCAUCCCUUCCUGGGGCUCCAUUCCCUUCCCAGCUCUGUUCCCCUCCUGGGGCUCCAUUCCCUUCCCAGCUCCUCAUCCCCUCCUGGGGCUCCAUUCCCUUCCCAGCUCCUCAUCCCCUCCUGGGGCUCCAUUCCCUUCCCAGCUCCCUCAUCCCCUCCUGGGGCUCCAUUCCCUUCCCAGCUCCUCAUCCCCUCCUGGGGCUCCAUUCCCUUCCCAGCUCUGUUCCCCUCCUGGGGCUCCAUUCCCUUCCCAGUUCCCCCAACCCCUCCUGGGGCUCCAUUCCCUUCCCAGCUCCUCAUCCCCUCCUGGGGCUCCAUUCCCUUCCCAGCUCCCUCAUCCCCUCCUGGGGCUCCAUUCCCUUCCCAGCUCCUCAUCCCCUCCUGGGGCUCCAUUCCCUUCCCAACUCCCUCAUCCCUCCUGGGGCUCCAUUCCCUUCCCAGCUCCUCAUCCCCUCCUGGGGCUCCGUUCCCUUCCCAGCUCCUCAUCCCCUCCUGGGGCUCCAUUCCCUUCCCAGCUCCCUCAUCCCUCCUGGGGCUCCAUUCCCUUCCCAGCUCCUCAUCCCCUCCUGGGGCUCCAUUCCCUUCCCAGCUCUGUUCCCCUCCUGGGGCUCCAUUCCCUUCCCAGCUCUGUUCCCCUCCUGGGGCUCCAUUCCCUUCCCAGCUCCUCAUCCCCUCCUGGUGCUCCAUUCCCAGCUCCUCAUCCCCUCCUGGGGCUCCAUUCCCUUCCCAGCUCUGUUCCCCUCCCGGGGCUCCAUUCCCUUCCCAGCUCCAUUCCCUGGCCGCAUUCCAGCCCCUCAGGCCCUGCCUGAGCUGCGGGGCCGGAGCUGGGCACAGCCCUGGAGAUGGAAGCUCAGCAGUGCCAGCACAGGGCACAGCCACUGCCCCGUGCCUGGGACAGCCCAGGGGUCCUGAGCCCCCCUGGCCACCUGGAAUCCUGUCCAGAGCCGCUGCUGAGCUCUCCUGGCAGUGUUCCCUGCCUGCUCCAGCUGUGUUUCCCAGGGGAUGCUGCACACCAGUGCCAGCGGGAGGGUCUCCUUCCCCCGUCUCUGCCCCAUCCCCGAGGUUUUGGCACGGCCACGCAGCUCCCGCUGGAGCUCACAGCACUGCUCACCCCAGCAGGGCAGUCACAGCGGGUGUGACAUCCCUGGGAACGACAGCCGGGCCUGGGAAGGGACCCCGUUAG
This 1443-nucleotide long non-coding RNA is filed under the name Taeniopygia guttata (zebra finch). RNAcentral describes it as "lncRNA (ENSTGUG00000024554.1)". Lineage: Eukaryota; Metazoa; Chordata; Aves; Passeriformes; Estrildidae. The record is from RNAcentral.